Molecule: non-coding RNA, 114 nt
Organism: Cucumis melo (muskmelon)
Lineage: Eukaryota; Viridiplantae; Streptophyta; Magnoliopsida; Cucurbitales; Cucurbitaceae
Source: Rfam
AGAGGAAGCAUCCAAAGGGAUCGCAUUGAUCCCAACUUAUAUAUUUACAGUUUUCUUUUCAUUUUCUUUCUUCUACAUAAUUUUGGAUCAUGCUAUCCCUUCGGAUUCCUCCUU